UACAGAGGGGGCGAGCGUUGUUCGGAAUUACUGGGCGUAAAGGGCGCGUAGGCGACCUUCUAAGUCGAACGUGAAAUCCCCGGGCUCAACCCGGGAACUGCGUCCGAUACUGGAAGGCUUGAAUCCGGGAGAGGGAUGCGGAAUUCCAGGUGUAGCGGUGAAAUGCGUAGAUAUCUGGAGGAACACCGGUGGCGAAGACGGCAUCCUGGACCGGCAUUGACGCUGAGGCGCGAAAGCCAGGGGAGCAAACGGG
RNAcentral lists this ribosomal RNA (253 nucleotides) under uncultured bacterium. Its description in RNAcentral is "partial 16S ribosomal RNA". It matches the Rfam family "Bacterial small subunit ribosomal RNA", at positions 524 to 776 of the family's 1533-position model. The record is from RNAcentral.